Molecule: small nucleolar RNA, 91 nt
Organism: Cornus florida
Lineage: Eukaryota; Viridiplantae; Streptophyta; Magnoliopsida; Cornales; Cornaceae
Product: small nucleolar RNA snoR26
Exons: 1
Source: RefSeq, a predicted model, not a curated record
UGAGCAUCAAUGAUGAUUUUCUUUCUUUGUUAUCCUUGCACUUUGAUGGCCAGUGAAGAAAAUUACGGGGAAUAUUUUGUCUGAGAUGCUC